RNAcentral lists this transfer RNA (73 nucleotides) under Canis lupus familiaris (dog). It matches the Rfam family "tRNA". Rfam says of the family: Transfer RNA (tRNA) molecules are approximately 80 nucleotides in length. RNAcentral also lists the same sequence under 1 other name. Lineage: Eukaryota; Metazoa; Chordata; Mammalia; Carnivora; Canidae. The record is from Rfam by way of RNAcentral.
ACCUGAUUGGCUCAGUCGGAAGAGCAUGUGACUCUUGAUCUUGAGGUCAUGAGUUCGAGACCCACAUUGGGUG